Molecule: long non-coding RNA, 504 nt
Organism: Hyposmocoma kahamanoa
Lineage: Eukaryota; Metazoa; Arthropoda; Insecta; Lepidoptera; Cosmopterigidae
Exons: 3
Source: RefSeq, a predicted model, not a curated record
UGUCCUCUGUGGUGAAGUUUGCCUAAAACUAAAAGAACAACGUAGAGUACAACUGUUCAAUUAAGAGUUUUAGUGAAUUAUAUGGCGGCAGACUCACAGGACCUAACAAUAGGUUGCCCUCAAAUUAGAAAACCAUGGCCCUAAAAACUAAAAUAACGGAAGCAUAUCAGUUGUUAUAAUUGGUCAUGAAUUUGAGUUAAGUCAUAAAAAUAUUUGGAAUGCGACCAGUCCAGCGAAGUGCUGUGAUAUGUGUUUUAUCAACAAGUAGCAACCCAUACCAGCGGCAUAAAAGUCUGUAUCAGUUUGGAACGAAAAAGGAUCUUUGUGAUCUACGUACCUAAUGAAAUUGGCUGUAAAAUAAUGUAGUGUAUUUAAAAUAAUAUAAGUGCUUAUGAGUCAUGUUAUGAAACAAGUUUAGAUAAUGAGAAAUAAAUACAGAUGCAUGUAAGAGACCAAGUACAAGUUAUUUCUAAUCUGCGUUGAGAUUAAUUUAAUAUGAUUGAU